RNAcentral lists this ribosomal RNA (253 nucleotides) under uncultured bacterium. RNAcentral's name for it is "partial 16S ribosomal RNA". It matches the Rfam family "Bacterial small subunit ribosomal RNA", at positions 524 to 776 of the family's 1533-position model. The record is from RNAcentral.
UACAGAGGUCCCGAGCGUUGUUCGGAUUCAUUGGGCGUAAAGGGUGCGUAGGCGGCGGGGCAAGUCUGAUGUGAAAUCCCGGGGCUCAACUCCGGAACUGCAUUGGAUACUGCCUUGCUAGAGUACUGGAGAGGGAACUGGAAUUUACGGUGUAGCAGUGAAAUGCGUAGAGAUCGUAAGGAAGGCCAGUGGCGAAGGCGAGUUCCUGGACAGUUACUGACGCUGAGGAGCGAAAGCGUGGGGAGCGAACAGG